Molecule: ribosomal RNA, 473 nt
Filed under: uncultured organism
Description: partial 16S ribosomal RNA
Rfam family: Bacterial small subunit ribosomal RNA
Source: RNAcentral
ACUCCUGCGGGAGGCAGCAGUGGGGAAUUUUGGACAAUGGGCGAAAGCCUGAUCCAGCAAUGCCGCGUGAGUGAAGAAGGCCUUCGGGUUGUAAAGCUCUUUUGUCAGGGAAGAAACGGUGAAAGCUAAUAUCUUUUGCUAAUGACGGUACCUGAAGAAUAAGCACCGGCUAACUACGUGCCAGCAGCCGCGGUAAUACGUAGGGUGCAAGCGUUAAUCGGAAUUACUGGGCGUAAAGCGUGCGCAGGCGGUUUUGUAAGUCUGAUGUGAAAUCCCCGGGCUCAACCUGGGAAUUGUAUUGGAGACUGCAAGGCUAGAAUCUGGCAGAGGGGGGUAGAAUUCCACGUGUAGCAGUGAAAUGCGUAGAUAUGUGGAGGAACACCGAUGGCGAAGGCAGCCCCCUGGGUCAAGAUUGACGCUCAUGCACGAAAGCGUGGGGAGCAAACAGGAUUAGAAACCCGAGUAGUCCCAUG